AUGAAAACCCUAAUGGACAACUCCCAUAGCUCCUGCUGGGAUUCCUUCUGGGGUGAACCUCACCAGAAAGCAAAGGACAAAAGGACAGGUCAGCUGCUUGGGCUGCACUGCAAAAUGGUGAAGGGAAGAAAAUGCUACUGGAGACAAACCAAAGAUCUCCCACACAAACCCUAAGAGGUAGGCACUUUUGUUGUUCUUUGUUAACAGACAUAGAAAAUCAAAGAAACUCAAAGAGAUUCAAAUAUGUUAGCUAAGUCACCUAAAGACUACAUGUGAAACGAGCUCUGACUCCAGAGUCCCAUCACUCAACUAUCAAACCAUAUCAUUUCUCAAGAUAUACUCUAAUCACCAAACUGGGUAAUACGACUAUAUUUCUAUCCCUUUUCUUUAAUGCUUAAGAGAAAGGAUGGAUGGAUGGUCUACUUCUAGAUUCUUAAUCACAGGAUCAUAGUCCGCAUUGGAAAACUGCCCCUAAAAUCAUCCUAUCCCUUAAACUAUAGACCAGUGAUUCUGAAGUCUGGCACCCAAACCAGUAGCAUUAGCUGCACAUACUGAUGCACAGACUUAUCCUCACCCCCAAACCUACUGAAUCAGAAACUCUAGGGACAAGGCCCAGCCUUCUUAUAUUAACAAGCCUCAAGCCAGGGGCUUGUUUCUAUUGAUUCGGAAAUUCUGGGUGUAAGGCCCAGGAUUCUUAUUUAACACAGCCUCCAUGUGAUUCUGAUGCAUGCACCAGUUUGAGAACCACUGCAAUCGAUAUUUUCCACAUAAAAGUCUAUAAACACCUUGAGAAUCACUUCUCCCAACCUAUGCAGCGUUAGAAGCUAGUUCCUGUAGGGGCCCUCAUCUUAACACACCCCAGUGUGUUGCAUUCACUGGCAGACCAAGAAGACAUUGUGAUACGCAUCCAGGCCAGUAGGAGGCACGUACUCCUGAAGGUUUGCUACUGCCCUAUUUUUCAGUUAACCUGAAGUAGCCCAAGUCAUGAGACAAUCAGUCACAGUUGAUGAGGACAGAAAAAGUUGGGAGCAAGUCCUAAGCAACAGUAAUCCUCCUCCUGGUGAGUUUUGCGUUUUGUGAUAGUCUGUAGCAAUUGCUCCCUACCCCUAUAAGGACGGACUGGACUAUACCACUAAGUGUCUAUACCACUUUGCAUGCAUAUCGUCCUGAGUGGAGUCAUCAUUUUUAGGUUCCAUCUGCCAUGUAGCUGUAAUCCCAUUGAUGGACUUCUGUGGGUUGAAUAAUCACUUCAGCACUGUAUUGUUUCUGCUCUUCUCUAUGAACAGUAAAGUGCUUCUUAAACCACCUCAAGAAGUGGUUAAAUGCAAGUCCCCAAGCCUCAUCUUCAAGACUAAUUUUGUAUGCCAGGGGUAGAACUCAGGGAUCUGCAUAUUUAAGAAGCUCCCUGGUUAUUCUAGUGCCUCUGUUCUAAAGACCAUACUGGAUAACAAUGGGUGGUUAAAGAUACAGGUUCUGGCCAGGUGCAGUGGCACCAUGUGCCUGUAACCCCAGCUGCUCAGGAGGCUGAGGAGGAAAGAUCACUUGAGCACAGAUCAGGACCAGCACAAACAACAUAGUGAGACCCUGUCUUUAAAAAAAAAGAAAGAAAAGAAAAAGAAAAGGAUGUAGACUCUGGAGUUGAAGAAACCUGAGUCGCAUUCCAACCUCACCUCUUACAACACUUGUCCCUUGAGUAAGUUACUCACCUCUCUGUACUUCUGACUUUUUCUUUGUAAUCUAACGAUAAUUUAAAGAACCUAGAUCAUAGAUUUGGUAAUAAAAUUUAAAGACAAUAAUCCAUUCAAAGCACUUAGAAGUGCGAAGCACAUAGUAAUCGCUCAUGAGGUACUAAAUGUUAGCCACUCUUACUUCUGUAAUGAUAGUAAUGACCAUCGCUGCCAUCUAGAUAAACUACAUGGAUGAAAAAGAAAGAAGACAAGUCUGGCUUCUUUCUUCUGAUUAUAACCUUUUGAUGUGUCUGAAUUUUCACUUAGGCUGGCUAUUUGUAAUAUGUUUCUCAGAAACUGAAAAUUGAAUUUAAAACGGUAGCUGCUCCCCACCCCAUCAUGUAAGCGGGGGAUAUAAUGAAAUGGCUUAUUAGGGGACUUCAGGGGAAAUUAGACAACCAGCCCAAGUUUCAGCUCACUGUCAGGUCGGGGUGCAGGUGGGAGUGAUGGAGGUGGAAAGGGAAUAGGCACAGUCAGUCCUGCAGGGUGUUCUUGGAGUUGUGGAGAGUGUUAGUGGCAGCAAACAAGCUUUAUCAAAGUGUGAAGGACAUAGUAAGUGCAAGAGAUUACCCUCAAAUUCCUUACAUUUGAAAGAAGCUCUUCAGAAAAUAAGAGGUUUCAACAUUUUGAAAGACACAUCACAUACCUCAACUACCUACCUCUUCCCAAAAACUACAGUGAAGCAUAUAAAAGGAAUUUUAUUUCGAAAGGUAUGGUGUCGAGAAGAGACAUAUGGAGGUAUGGGAUAAUUUUUUGAGAUCUUUAAUUAUCUUAACUCAUUUCCUUAUAUGUUAUUAAACCAAAAAGACCGUUAUUCUUUCUUCCAGCAGACCAAAGCGUACAUCUACCACCUCCUCUUCACCAAGAGCUCAGAGUUCUCUUCCCUCACCAUUCCUCAAGUAGUAUUUUCUAAAAUAUAGUUAAUGCCACCAGAGGACAAUCACAAUGUAAAUCUUGUACCUCAGAGAGAAAGCAGUGUCAUAUACAUCUGCUGCUAGCAUACAUAUAACUCUCUUUCAAAACUGCCUUUGCAAAAUUUUAACUGAGGAAAUUAUGACCGAAAAAAGUUAGACCUAACUGACUCCAUCUUGCUUCUAACCUUUGAGCUGUCCUUGUUCAGUCCUGGGCGUAGGCUGAACUAACUUUGGUAAGGAAUUCAGUUCAUGGUUUGACUCUGAAACAAAUUUGAUAAGAGCCAUGUCCUGAAAAGACCCCCUUCUUGCAUGGGACCGGUUUUCCUUUGCAGGACUAACAAAUUAGCAACAGUUUAGUGGUCCGCAGCCUCAGGCUCCAAGAGUCUGAAUCUCCUCAAAGUGCUGCUGGGGAAAACAUCACUACUGUAAAACCUAAGAUCUUGAGAUAUUUUGCAGACUCCACACUGGAUGGAUCAGCUGACCCCACCCAAAACUGGCUCAGCCAGUUCUGCCAUCCCACCCAGGAAUAGAAGAGAACAAUAAAACCUCACUUCAACCCCUAGGAUUCCAUGUCCAACCUGACU
This 3225-nucleotide long non-coding RNA is filed under the name Callithrix jacchus (white-tufted-ear marmoset). RNAcentral's name for it is "lncRNA (ENSCJAG00000074212.1)". Lineage: Eukaryota; Metazoa; Chordata; Mammalia; Primates; Cebidae. The record is from RNAcentral.